This 119-nucleotide ribosomal RNA is filed under the name Octopus vulgaris (common octopus). Lineage: Eukaryota; Metazoa; Mollusca; Cephalopoda; Octopoda; Octopodidae. The record is from RNAcentral. RNAcentral also lists the same sequence under 1 other name.
UUAUCCGGCCAUAUCACGUUGAAAAGACCGGUUCUCGUCCGAUCACCGAAGUUAAGCAACGUCGAGCCUAGUUAGUACUUAGAUGGGUGACCUCUUGGGAAACCUAGGUGCUGUAAGCG